Molecule: unclassified non-coding RNA, 240 nt
Filed under: soil metagenome
Description: partial contains 5.8S ribosomal RNA, internal transcribed spacer 2, and large subunit ribosomal RNA
Source: RNAcentral
AACAAGGCGUACCUGCGGACCUGCGGAGGGAUCAUUACCGAGUGUGAACCCCCCCGUAAAAAAGAGGGGUUACCUCCCGUCCUUUGCUGGGAACCCCUUUCCAACUUGGAAGGAGGUUGUUUUCAGACCCUUCUGCUUCGGUGGGGUAACCCACCGGAACAACCUCAAAAAUAUUCUCAAUUCAAAACCGUUCAGUCCGAGAACUUUUUUGAAAAGCGAAAAAACUUUUAACAAUGGAUC